GCGCCCCAGCCCCUGCGCUGCGGUGAGGUGGGUGCCCCUCUCAGGGCGCAGAGCUAGGGUGCAGGAAGUGUCAUCACGGCACUGGCUGUGCUGACGGAGGGGUCGCUGAGCAUGUAGCUUUGUGAGGAGCAUCCGCUGUUGGACUCAGAAACCCCCAAUGAGAAGGAGACGGGCCUGCAGCCGGGAGCCAGGCCCCACUCCCCUCGCCUUUGGGGAUGUGGCCUGGCCCGUCACACUCGCAGGCUCUGACCCCGGAGGCCAGGGAGCUCCCUCCACAGGUAAACAGACAGGCUGACUCUGUGCUCCCACAGAAGCCCUGGAGGUGCCCGGGGUGCCACUGGGUGUGCCAGGAAGACUGGGCAGGAGGCAGGGGCUUAUGGCCUGAAGCACAGCUGGGCUCCCAGCUCCCGGCUGUGACCUCCAAUCGCUAAGACGCCCUCGGAACAGGUCAGGUCAGGUGAGUGUGGGAACCAGGUUCUUGCAGAGGGAGUGGAGAGGCCAUGAGGAAGGGUCACGAGGCUGGCGCACGCCUUCCGGGCCCCAGCCCCGCCCCCACCUCUAAAGGUCAGAGGGCACCGGUCUCAGGAGCGGAGGGGGGGGCGCACAGGGAGCGGGGGGAGCUGAUGGUGGCCCAGGAGGUGAGUCCAGGUUCAGGAAACAGCGACAGACACAGGCAAGCAGCCACGAAGACCACAGGCAUCACACGCACACAUACACACACACACGCGCACACGCGCGCACACACAGA
Pipistrellus kuhlii (Kuhl's pipistrelle) is the source of this 748-nucleotide long non-coding RNA. RefSeq lists it as uncharacterized. The record is from RefSeq and is a predicted model, not a curated record. The transcript is spliced from 2 exons. Lineage: Eukaryota; Metazoa; Chordata; Mammalia; Chiroptera; Vespertilionidae.